This is a long non-coding RNA of Amphimedon queenslandica, 547 nucleotides long. RefSeq lists it as uncharacterized. The transcript is spliced from 2 exons. NCBI's taxonomy places the organism in Eukaryota, Metazoa, Porifera, Demospongiae, Haplosclerida, Niphatidae. The record is from RefSeq and is a predicted model, not a curated record.
GGCUUCUGAUCAUUGAACUGUGAGAAAAAGUGUUCGAAUAUCGAUGGUGUGCGAUAGUAGGUUGCUGACUCUAUAGGUGUUCUAUUGGAAGGAAAAGAUUAUAAAAGAGAAGAAAUACAUGACAGCAUUCACAAUAAUGUCACAAGAGAAGAAAGGUGGUCUUAUAUAUUCAAUUACUAACUGUCUGGGACUAAAGUAUCAGAAGCAAUUGUACUUUGUUGCUUACACAGUAAUGGGAUGCUUCUUCUUCAUACUAGCAUACUUAUGCUUUAUAUCGUUAGUGUAUAAUUACAUUUUCUUUCUGGGGUUUAUGUUAGUUGCCUGUUACAAUGGAGCUACUUUCUAUAUCAAGGUUGUUGGGAAAGAAUAUUAUAAAAAUGAAGAAAAGAAAAAUGAAUAAAUUUAAAGUUCAUACUGAGUAGCUAAUAUGUCAUUUUAUUAUUAGGCCAGUGCACCAUUGAAGUACAGUUUAUUGAAAUGUGUUAAAAUUUAUAUUUUUACAAUAACAAUAAUGUUAGAUCUAUUUUGCUAGCAUUCAUGAGUGUCA